RNAcentral lists this unclassified non-coding RNA (253 nucleotides) under Patescibacteria group bacterium. RNAcentral describes it as "contains 16S-23S intergenic spacer region". It matches the Rfam family "Bacterial small subunit ribosomal RNA", at positions 524 to 776 of the family's 1533-position model. The record is from RNAcentral.
UACGAAGGUCCCAAGCGUUAUCCGGUGUUAUUAGGCGUAAAGCGUCCGCAGGUGGUUUGGCGCAUCUCUGGUCAAAUCAUACGGCCCAACCGUAUGACUGCCGGAGAGAUGGCCAAACUUGAGGCAGGGAGAGGCACGUGGAAUGGCUGGUGUAGGAGUAAAAUCCGUUAAUCUCAGCCAGAACACCAAAUGCGAAGGCAGCGUGCUGGAACUGUCCUGACACUCAGGGACGAAAGCGUGGGUAGCGAAUGGG